RNAcentral lists this transfer RNA (70 nucleotides) under Marmota monax (woodchuck). RNAcentral describes it as "tRNA.Val". It matches the Rfam family "tRNA", at positions 6 to 65 of the family's 71-position model. From Rfam's summary of the family: Transfer RNA (tRNA) molecules are approximately 80 nucleotides in length. Their secondary structure includes four short double-helical elements and three loops (D, anti-codon, and T loops). The record is from RNAcentral. Lineage: Eukaryota; Metazoa; Chordata; Mammalia; Rodentia; Sciuridae.
GGAUUGUGGCUCAGUGGUAGAGCACUCGCCUCACAUGUGUGCAAGGCCCUGGGUUCAAUCCUCAGCACCA